UUUGGAAUGAAAGUAGGAGAGAUUGUAUUUCUGUAUAUUUAAUUGCUUUGGUGUAAUCAUUUAAAGCGUUAUCU
Non-coding RNA from Pangasianodon gigas (Mekong giant catfish), 74 nucleotides. NCBI's taxonomy places the organism in Eukaryota, Metazoa, Chordata, Actinopteri, Siluriformes, Pangasiidae. The record is from the annotation of a GenBank genome assembly.